RNAcentral lists this ribosomal RNA (407 nucleotides) under uncultured bacterium. RNAcentral's name for it is "partial 16S ribosomal RNA". It matches the Rfam family "Bacterial small subunit ribosomal RNA", at positions 30 to 526 of the family's 1533-position model. The record is from RNAcentral.
AUUGAACGCUGGCGGCAGGCCUAACACAUGCAAGUCGAGCGGAGCGGCGGACGGGUGAUUUAUGCCUAGGAAUCUGCCUGGUAGUGGGGGAUAACGUCCGGAAACGGGCGAUAAUACCGCAUACUAUCAGAUGAGCCUAGGUCGGAUUAGCAAGUUGGUGGGGUACAGGCCUACCAAGGCGACGAUCCGUAACUGGUCUGAGAGGAUGAUCAGUCACACUGGAACUGAGACACGGUCCAGACUCCUACGGGAGGCAGCAGUGGGGAAUAUUGGACAAAGGGCGAAAGACUGAUACAGCAAGGCCGCGUGUGUGAAGAAGGUCUUCGGAUUGUAAAGCACUUUAAGUUGGGAGGCGUUACCAACAGAAUAAGCACCGGCUAACUUCGUGCCAGCAGCCGCGGUAAUUC